ACAAAGGGCAGCAAGUUCGCGAGGACAAGCAAAUCCCAUAAACCGUGGCUCAGUUCAGAUCGUAGGCUGCAACUCGCCUACGUGAAGGAGGAAUCGCUAGUAAUCGCAGGUCAGCAUACUGCGGUGAAUACGUUCCCGGGCCUUGUACACACCGCCCGUCACACCAUGGAAGUUGGCCACGCCCGAAGCCGUUACUCCAACCCUUGUGGAGGAGGACGUCGAAGGUGGGGCUGAUGACUGGGGUGAAGUCGUAACAAGGUAGCCGUACCGGAAGGUGCGGCUGGAUCACCUCCUAAC
This 297-nucleotide ribosomal RNA is filed under the name uncultured Synechococcus sp. RNAcentral's name for it is "partial 16S ribosomal RNA". It matches the Rfam family "Bacterial small subunit ribosomal RNA", at positions 1239 to 1533 of the family's 1533-position model. The record is from RNAcentral. Lineage: Bacteria; Bacillati; Cyanobacteriota; Cyanophyceae; Synechococcales; Synechococcaceae.